This 253-nucleotide ribosomal RNA is filed under the name uncultured bacterium. Its description in RNAcentral is "partial 16S ribosomal RNA". It matches the Rfam family "Bacterial small subunit ribosomal RNA", at positions 524 to 776 of the family's 1533-position model. The record is from RNAcentral.
GACGGAGGAUGCAAGUGUUAUCCGGAAUCACUGGGCGUAAAGCGUCUGUAGGUUGUUUAAAAAGUCUGCAGUUAAAGGUUGAAGCUUAACUUCAAAAAUGCCGUAGAAACUUUUAAACUAGAGGAUGGUAGGGGUAGAGGGAAUUUCCAGUGGAGCGGUGAAAUGUGUAGAUAUUGGAAAGACCACCGAUGGCGAAGGCACUCUACUGGGCCAUGACUGACACUGAGAGACGAAAGCUAGGGGAGCGAAUGGG